UGCCAGCCGCCGCGGUAAUACGGAGGAUGCAAGCGUUAUCCGGAAUCAUUGGGUUUAAAGGGUCCGUGGGCGGACAGUUAAGUCAGGGGUGAAAGUUUGCGGCUCAACCGUAAAAUUGCCUCUGAUACUGAUUGUCUUGAAUUAGUGUGAAGUGGUUAGAAUGAGUAGUGUAGCGGUGAAAUGCAUAGAGAUUACUCAGAAUACCGAUUGCGAAGGCAGAUCACUAACACUAUAUUGACGCUGAGGGACGAAAGCGUGGGGAGCGAACAGGAUUAGAUA
RNAcentral lists this ribosomal RNA (279 nucleotides) under uncultured bacterium. RNAcentral's name for it is "partial 16S ribosomal RNA". It matches the Rfam family "Bacterial small subunit ribosomal RNA", at positions 506 to 784 of the family's 1533-position model. The record is from RNAcentral.